AGCAGCCGCGGUAAUUCCAGCUCCAAUAGCGUAUAUUAAAGUUGUUGCAGUUAAAAAGCUCGUAGUUGAAUUUCGGGGUCAGUAGGUUGGUCAUGCCCAUGGUAUGCACUGGUCUCACUGAUUCCUCCUUCCUGAUGAACCGUAAUGCCAUUAAUUUGGUGUUGCGGGGAAUCUGGACUGUUACUUUGAAAAAAUUAGAGUGUUUAAAGCAGGCCAACGCCUGAAUACAUUAGCAUGGAAUAAUGAAAUAGGACGUUCGAUCCUAUUUUGUUGGUUUCUAGGGUUGACGUAAUGAUUAAUAGGGAUAGUUGGGGGCAUUAGUAUUCAAUUGUCAGAGGUGAAAUUCUUGGAUUUAUUGAAGACUAACUACUGCGAAAGCAUUUGCCAAGGAUGUUUUCAUUAAUCAAGAACGAAAGUUAGGGGAUCGAAGACGAUCAGAUACCGUCGUAGUCUUAACCAUAAACUAUGCCGACUAGGGAUCGGAUGAUGUUAAUUUUAUAUAGA
Molecule: ribosomal RNA, 504 nt
Filed under: uncultured Glomus
Lineage: Eukaryota; Fungi; Glomeromycota; Glomeromycetes; Glomerales; Glomeraceae
Description: SSU rRNA
Rfam family: Eukaryotic small subunit ribosomal RNA
Source: RNAcentral